GUGGCGGAGGAAAACCGUGGUUACAUCAAGACACCUGGGGGAUACAAAUAAAUCAAAAGGCCCAAAAUCCAGGCAUAAAAAACUAAUACUUCCGAAGACCAGACAAAAUAUCCAAAAUUACAAACUUAUCAAACUUAAUAUGCAACCUGUUUUAAUAUUAUGGUUGUUGCGAUGACAUUCUUGUAGGGCAUAAGCUAAGUAUCGGAUGCAUACUUGCUGUGUCGGUUGUAAUGGAGUCUAGAAGCUUUCAGCCUCUUGUUGUUUAUGCUAUGGAUGGUGAGUAGAACAUAUCAACCAGUAUUAUGGGCUAUAUGUUCCAUUUUUAAGAUGCUUUGGAUGAGGAAGAAGAUCCGUGGACCUUCUGGAUGUUUGCCCAGAAAUUCUGGCUACCUGGUUUUUUAUUUCUUACUGUGUUGACAAACUUGGAUCAUCCUAUUGCACUCAUUGCAAUCAAAAUUAUUUUGUUACUCCUAAGCACAAAUCCUUGUCCUCUCUCAGUCUAUGUUUUUGUUGGUCAGGUAAGUAUUCCAUUUCACCUUGUUGUACUCAUGACUUAAGAGAGGGUCCAAUAAAAAAGCUUUCUAAACUCUUGUAUAGAACUCACGAACUAGGGUAUCAAGAGGCAAUCCAUCCCCUAGUGUUUGACUAGUGAGCUGAAGAAAUACGUGGAUUCUCGACAGAUGAAUAAAUUUUUUAAUUUUGUUGAACAUAAUGGGAACAAUCAAUUUUCAUCAAUAUGCGGUUAUCUCAUAGGAUAUAUAUUUUCAUUAUUGUUGAUAAUUUCUUGUGUAAAAUCCUUGCUAUUAUGAUUUUGUCCUCCCUGGUAUCGUCUUGACUAUUUCAGUGGCUGAUAUGAUUCUACAUACUUGGAGUAGAUCAAUGGUCUAUUAAAUUGGGGUAGCUGCUUUGAAUUUAAGUGGAAACCAAGGCUUUGUUGAGUGAGUUAUGUCAUCAAUCUAUGCGCAAAGAGCCUCACUUGUACAGAAAAAAGUUUACUUGGGCUUGCAAGUACACAUGCUUAUUGAGGGAAGUUGGUUCUACCAAUACUUAUGUCAAAGGGCAUCACUCCACCCAUUGGAUGCCCAUUCCAUGAUUUUAGAAACUUGUUAAAAAUUAGUUUCCCCUCCCCACGAUUUUUAACUUUUUAUUUAUUUUUUAUUUUUGUAUUUCUCCCAUCUUAUAAUUCCUGGUUCUGCUGCCCUUGCUUAUAAGGAAAGAAUGGAGAAGAAACAGGAUAAAGACUAGAACAUGAUGUGUUUUCCUAAUUCUCUCUUUCAAACGCUUAUCAGGCUGCAGUUUCUCAUAGCCACGUGUAUUUCAUAGCUAAAUUUGGACUGCCUAUAUAUCAUCUGUGACAAUUGAUCCAUGAUCUGAUUAUGUGCCUAUGUUUCCAUGGAAAUUAUUCAAUGACUUCUUCGAA
Molecule: long non-coding RNA, 1420 nt
Organism: Juglans regia (Persian walnut)
Lineage: Eukaryota; Viridiplantae; Streptophyta; Magnoliopsida; Fagales; Juglandaceae
Exons: 4
Source: RefSeq, a predicted model, not a curated record